CUCUACUGUGGGCUCAGAAGGUAGGACCCACGGAUGACCUCCACCAUGGCCUGGUGCCCUCUCCUCUUCAGCCUCCUGGCUCACUGCACAGGUUCCUGGGCACAGGCCAUGCUGACUCAGCCUCCCUCAGUGUCUGGGUCUCCAGGAGGAUCAGUCACCAUCUCCUGCACUGGAAGCAGCACCAAUAUUGGGAGUGGCUAUGAUGUCCACUGGUACCAGCAGCUCUCAGGAACAGCUCCCAAACUCAUCAUCUAUGAUAAUAGCAAUCGACCCUCCGGGGUCUCUGAUCGGUUCUCUGGCUCCAAAUCUGGCAGCUCAGGCUCCCUGACCAUCAGUGGGCUCCAAUCUGAGGACGAGGCUGAUUAUUUCUGUCAGUCUUAUGAUAGCAGCCUCAGUGCUCGCACAUGUGCUCAGUUCUUGAGCUCCAUACUUGGGAACACAUUUGCCCUUACCUGCUCAGAGCACCAUCCUGAGGAAGAGGCUUAUCACCACGGCUGGCUGGUGACAGAGGUGGAUGAACAGUGCAGAGUUAACUGA
Non-coding RNA from Octodon degus (degu), 537 nucleotides. NCBI's taxonomy places the organism in Eukaryota, Metazoa, Chordata, Mammalia, Rodentia, Octodontidae. The record is from the annotation of a RefSeq genome assembly.